CAUGGCUGUCGUCAGCUCGUGUCGUGAGAUGUUGGGUUAAGUCCCGCAACGAGCGCAACCCUUAUCCCUAGUUGCCAUCAGGUAAAGCUGGGAACUCUGGGGAGGACUGCCGGUGAUAAACCGGAGGAAGCGGGGAUGACGUCAAGUCCUCAUGGCCCUUACAUCCCGGGCUACACACGUGCUACAAUGGCAGGUACAGAGGGCUGCGAAGCCGCGAGGUGGAGCGAAUCCCAGAAAACCUGUCUCAGUCCGGAUUGAAGUCUGCAACUCGACUUCAUGAAGGCGGAAUCGCUAGUAACCGCCGAAUCCAGCAGGUCCGCGGUGAAUACGGUUCCCGGCCUU
This 342-nucleotide ribosomal RNA is filed under the name uncultured Latescibacterota bacterium. RNAcentral's name for it is "bacterial SSU rRNA". It matches the Rfam family "Bacterial small subunit ribosomal RNA", at positions 1044 to 1382 of the family's 1533-position model. The record is from RNAcentral. Lineage: Bacteria; Pseudomonadati; Candidatus Latescibacterota.